This 348-nucleotide unclassified non-coding RNA is filed under the name soil metagenome. Its description in RNAcentral is "partial contains 5.8S ribosomal RNA, internal transcribed spacer 2, and large subunit ribosomal RNA". The stretch from base 1 to 120 matches the Rfam family "5.8S ribosomal RNA", at positions 35 to 154 of the family's 154-position model. The record is from RNAcentral.
GAUGAAGAACGUAGUGAAAUGCGAUAAGUAAUGUGAAUUGCAGAAUUCAGUGAAUCAUCGAAUCUUUGAACGCACAUUGCGCCCGCCAGUAUUCUGGCGGGCAUGCCUGUCCGAGCGUCAUUUCAACCCUCGCGCCCAUCUGGGCUGCGGUGUUGGGGACCGGCCUGCCCCCCGGGGCGCGCCGCCCCCCAAAUUCAGUGGCGGUCUCGCUGCAGCCUCCCUUGCGUAGUAGCACACCUCGCACCGGAGCGCAGCGCGGCCACGCCGUAAAACCCCCGACCCCCAUGAGUUUGACCUCGGAUCAGGUAGGAAUACCCGCUGAACUUAAGCAUAUCAAUAAGCGGAGGA